Molecule: ribosomal RNA, 496 nt
Filed under: uncultured bacterium
Lineage: Bacteria
Description: partial 16S ribosomal RNA
Rfam family: Bacterial small subunit ribosomal RNA
Source: RNAcentral
AUGAACGCUGGCGGCGUGCCUAAUACAUGCCAGUCGCGCGAACAGAUAAGGAGCUUGCUCCUUUGACGUUAGCGGCGGACGGGUGAGUAACACGUGGGUAACCUACCUAUAAGACUGGGAUAACUUCGGGAAACCGGAGCUAAUACCGGAUAAUAUUUCGAACCGCAUGGUUCGAUAGUGAAAGAUGGUUUUGCUAUCACUUAUAGAUGGACCCGCGCCGUAUUAGCUAGUUGGUAAGGUAACGGCUUACCAAGGCGACGAUACGUAGCCGACCUGAGAGGGUGAUCGGCCACACUGGAACUGAGACACGGUCCAGACUCCUACGGGAGGCAGCAGUAGGGAAUCUUCCGCAAUGGGCGAAAGCCUGACGGAGCAACGCCGCGUGAGUGAUGAAGGUCUUCGGAUCGUAAAACUCUGUUAUUAGGGAAGAACAUACGUGUAAGUAACUGUGCACGUCUUGACGGUACCUAAUCAGAAAGCCACGGCUAACUACGUG